Non-coding RNA from Sus scrofa (pig), 8571 nucleotides. Lineage: Eukaryota; Metazoa; Chordata; Mammalia; Artiodactyla; Suidae. The record is from RefSeq and is a predicted model, not a curated record.
UCCCAGCUCGCGGCCCUGAUUGGCCGCCGCAUUCCCGCUUUCCUUCCCGAACCGCCAUUUUGAAAAUCUUGUUGAUUCUGGGCAGCCGAGAGCGCGGCGUGAGCGUCAGGCCAGCGAGCGGCCCGCGCGCCUCCUUUUCGGCGCCCGCCGCCGCCUCCCGGCGUCUCUUCGAGUCCUCGGCGCCAGGCCCGCGGCGGCCGGGACCCGCGGUCCACAGCAUGUCCUCCUCGGGCCCUGCUGCGGAGGGAGAGGGAACCCCCGCCCAGCCCGCGUCCGAGAAAGAGCCCGAAAUGCCCGGCCCGAGAGAGGAAAGUGAAGAGGAGGACGAGGACGACGAGGAGGAGGAAGAGGAGGAAGAGAAAGAAAAGAGUCUAAUCGUGGAAGGCAAGAGGGAAAAGAAAAAAGUAGAGAGGUUGACAAUGCAAGUCUCUUCCUUACAAAGAGAGCCAUUUACAAUUGCACAGGGGAAGGGACAGAAACUUUGUGAAAUUGAAAGGAUACACUUUUUUCUAAGUAAGAAGAAAACAGAUGAGCUUAGAAAUCUACAUAAGCUGCUUUAUAACAGACCAGGCACAGUGUCCUCAUUAAAGAAGAAUGUGGGUCAGUUCAGUGGCUUUCCAUUUGAAAAAGGAAGUAUCCAGUAUAAGAAGAAGGAAGAAAUGUUAAAAAAAUUUAGAAAUGCCAUGUUAAAGAGCAUCUGCGAGGUUCUUGAUUUGGAAAGAUCAGGUGUAAAUAGUGAACUGGUGAAAAGGAUCUUGAAUUUCUUAAUGCAUCCAAAGCCUUCUGGCAAACCAUUGCCAAAAUCUAAAAAAACCUCUAGCAAAGGCAACAAAAAAGAACGGAAUAGUUCUGGAAUGGCCAGGAAAGCUAAGCGAACCAAAUGUCCUGAAAUUCUUUCGGAUGAAUCCAGCAGCGAUGAAGACGAGAAGAAAAAUAAGGAAGAGUCUUCAGAUGAGGAAGAUAAAGAAAGUGAAGAGGAGGUAAAAUGUUGGGGAUUUUUUUCUCUAUCCAUGGGCAGAGUUAAAUACUCUUUUUUUAUUGUUGUUAUUUCCCCAGUACAAUUUUUUUUCCCUACUGUACAGCAUGGUGACCCAGUUACACGAUACAUGUACACGUUCUGUUUUCUCACAUUAUCAUGUUCCAUCAUCAGUGACUAGACAUAGUUCCCAUCGUUACACCGCAGGAUCUCAUUGCUAAUCCAUUCCAAAGACAGUAGUUUGCAUCUGUUAACCCCAGGCUCCCAAUCCAUCCCUCUCCUUCCCUCUCCCCCUUGGCAACCACAAGUUUAUUCUCCAAGUCCAUGAUUUUCUUUUCUGUGGAAAUAUUCUUUUUUUUUUUUUUUUUUUUUUUCUUUUUUUGGUCUUUUUGCCAUUUCUUGGGCCGCUCCUGCGGCAUAUGGAGAUUCCCAGGCUAGGGGUGGAAUCAGAGCUGUAGCUGCCAGCCUACACCAGAGCCACAGCAACGCCAAAUCCGAGCCACAUCUGCAACCUACACCACAGCUCACGGCAACGCCAGAUCGUUAACCCACUGAGCAAGGGCAGGGGUCGAACCCACAACCUCAUGGUUCCUAGUCGGAUCCGUUAACCACUGCGCCACGACGGGAACUCCUUUUUUUUUUUUUUUUUUUUUUUUGGUCUUUUUGCCAUAUUCUUGAUAAAUAAUAGUUGUAGCCAGAAAGCAUAGAUUGAAGCAACUGUAUCUGUACCAUAUUGGUGAUUGUUAAUUCUGAAGACAGAAAUGAUUAUGUAUAAACCCUUCCUUUCUCUUGAGGAGCUUUUAGUUUUAUUGCCAUGCCAGAGUGUAAGAUUUAGAAAAGAAUGAGGAUGGUUGGACUGGAUUUGAGCUGGACCUUGUAGCCUGGCGUAGGUAAGUGGUGGGGAAGGGGUUAUGUCCUGAUGGGAACACAAAGAAGGAAAUUUUUUGAGAAUUUCUUUGUAGUAUGUUAGUAUUUUUUAAGAUUGACUUGAACCAGUUUAUUCUGUUUUUUGUAGAAAGCUAAGGGAUUUAAGGACCAGCAUUUUUUUUUUCCCCUCAGCACAGGGAUUGUAUAAUGAGAAUAGAAGCAUUUGAAGUUUGUUUAUUUAUUUAUUUAUUUUGCUUUUUUUUAGGGCCACACUUGAGGCAUAUGGAGGUUCCCAGGCUAGGUGUCUAAUCGGAGCUACAGCUGCUGGCCUACAUCACAGCCACAGCAACAUGAGAUCCGAGCCACGUCUGCGACCUACACCACAGCUCACGGCAAUGCCAGAUCCUUAACCCACUGAGCGAGGCCAGGGAUUGAACCCGCAACCUCAUGGUUUCUGGUCAGAUUGGUUUCCAUUGAGCCGUGACAGGAACUCUUUUUUUUUUUUUUUUCCUUUGAAGUUUAUUUUCUUUGUGGGCAAAUUUUGUAUUUCUUGGAAUUGCCUGCCAGUUUUUUUUUAACUUGGUAGUAUUCAUGAAAUGUUGAGAAUAUUUAGCUUCCAAAGUGAACCUUGAGGGAGAGCUGCUGAACCAUUCAAGGGUUUGACUUUACCCUCUCCUUAACGCCUUAAUGCGUAUGUUCAGUCAGGUAGGUGAGGGAGAGUGGGUACAAGGAGAUGAUUUCCUGUUAUUGUUAAAUAGUGUUUUGGUGCCCCCUUUAAUGGUCAGAACUUGCCGUGUAAACUGGUUGAUCCCCCUUGUCUCACUUAAGGACUUGAUUAAUGUGGCUUGGCAUUUUGGGCUAAGAUGAUUUGUUGCUGUGCAGGUCUGUCUUGUGCAUUGCAGACUGCCCACUAGAUGCCAGUAGCACACCUCCUCCCCCAGCCUCCAGUUGUGGAAAACAAGUCUCUAGAUGUUGGCAAAAAUCACCUUUAGUUGAUAACUACUGAAUUAUAAUGAAGAUGUGGUGAACUCUGGUUUUAUAUGUAUACAUUUUCUGUUACAUUUGUCUUUCUGUGUUUAAAAUCCAUGCUUGUUUUAGUGGCAAAAUUUAUAAAGACUUUUUAAAGCUAAGUAUGAAAUGCAUCUUAACUUUAAAAAGGAUAUUAUAGAUCUAGCAAGUGUUUCAUAAUUAGUAUCUUAGUAUAUAUUUGAUGUGACAGAAGAUGAGUAAUCUGAGCAUUAAGGUUUUUAUGGAAUAGAUUUUAAGAACAUGUAGGAGGAAAAUGUGUUUGUUUAUAUGUGAAUAUGUAAUAGUAGCAAUUUUGCAGUAAUAGAUUUCUUCAUUCAAGAAAUUUUUUGGCUAUCUACUAUGUGUAUUGGCUGUGUUUCCCAAAACCUUUUUGUUUUUUUUUGUUUUUUGUUUUUUUUUUUAGGGCUGCACCCAUGGCAAAUGGAGGUUCCCAGGCUAGGGGUCAAAUCAGAGCUGUAGCUGCAGGUCUAUGCCACAGCCACAGCAACAUGGGAUCCAAGCUGUGUCUGCAACCUACACCACAGCUCAUGGCAAUGCAAGAUCCUUAACCCACAGAGUGAGGCCUGGGAUCAAACCUGCAUCCUCAUGGAUGCUAGUCAGAUUCGUUUCCACUGAGCCAUUUUGGGAACACCCUGCCCCAAAACCUUUUUAAGGGCAGAUUUAAAGCAUAAAAAGUUCUGAUAGAACAUAAACAUCUCAUUUUUUUCAUAGAGGCUAUAUGAUUAUGAGCAUGGCCUUUUUAAACUAUCUGGGUUCAUAUCCCAGCUGUACUCUGAUUAUCACUGUAUGACCUUGGGCAAGUUACUCGUAAGCUCUAUUAACCCACUUUCCCAUCUGUAAAACAGGGAUAAUAAUAGUACCAGCCUCAGAGGAUUGUUUUAAGUGGCUUUAUUUAAAGCAUUUAGAGGGGUCCUAAAAAGACAAAUAAUAAAAUAAUAUUUUUUAAAGUAUUUUAAACAGUAAAAUUAAAGCACUUAGAGCAGUGCUUGGUACAAGUAACUACAUAGAUAUUAGCUGCUGCUCUUACUCUUAAGAUAACUUUUUAUCACAUGUAAGAUUUCUAAAUGCAGUUUUACAGUCAUUACUAAGGUGGAGGCUAAAAAAGUGAGGAUAUUUUACACUCAUUUUCUUAUUUGCUUCUCAGAUUGCCCCAGUGUUAUAAAUAGAGUUAGUUGAUGUCUGUGAAUAUAGAUGACCCCUGAUUUAUAACCUUACUGGUUCUUGGAUAAUGAUCACAAGUGGAACCAUCCCACUACACAUUAAAGCCUCUCUUUCUCCAUUGCUGUAAAUGAGGAUCUUUUGCCAGAAAGCCAGGUUAAAUGAUGAUAAUCCGGGGAGUUCCCAUUGUGGCUCAGUAGUGACGAACCACAAGGAUGCGGGUUCAGUCCCUGGCCUCACUCUGAGGGUUGAGGAUCCAGCUUUUCUGUGAGCUGUGGUGUAGGUCGCAGAUGCUGUUUGGACCUGGCAUUGCUGUGGCUGUGGCGUAUACCAGCAGCUGCAGCUCUGAUUCUGCCCUUAGCCUGGGAACUUGCAUAUACUGCAAAUGUGGCCCUCUGAAAAAGAAAAAGAGAAAGACAGAAAAUAAAUCCAUGGAGGAAAAACCAAAAAUGCAUUUAUAGACAUUAAGUAUAUAAAGACACUCAAUAUAAAAUCUGUACCAUAAUGCUUUAUUUUCUGCUUUGGUUUUUCUGUUUGGGCUGAUACUGACAGACUUCAUAAAAUAAAUAUAAUGCCAAUAAAGUCUGAACUGAGAAAUCUUUCUUUUUUCCUGAUAAGUCACCAUCCAACAAAUAGAGGUAUUCUUCUUUUCUCUAAAGACCCUUUCAAAUUUAGGGCUAUCCUCCUCAAAACUUUUGCUGAUUCCAUUACUGUGGAAGUCUCAGGUUGCCUUUGAAAGGUAAGUGCUAGCAGAAGGGACAGUAUUUCUGUAGUAUCUUUGUUUUUUACUGACUCUGUUUUUUCGAAUACUCAGUUAAGUGGCAGCCUUGUUAGGGACUUCUAGAUGAAGGUAUUUUUGGUCAGUGCUAUGAAAGGUCCUGUUUUCUAAGAGGCCAUACAAAAGAGAUGUAGAUAGGUUGAAAAUAUUAAGGAUUGCUUGCAGAUGGGACUUUUUUGCAGAUUUUUUUCAGGGGAAAUUACUAGGUUAAUAUUAUUUAUUUCCUAAAAUGAAAUUUUCCUUCAUAGAUAAGACUUCUCCCUGUUAAGGACAGCUUCUUGUUCAGUUUUAGAUUCUUAGAGUAAAUAACUGUGAACUUGUGUGUUUCCUCUGUAAAUUGAGACCUUUGGACUAAAAAAUCUGUAUUGCUGAAGUCAGAAAUCCAGAUUAAGUUACAAUUGUUCAUUAGCCAGUCAGAUUGAAUAUUAUUUACCUGCUACUUUUCAUAUUUACCUAUUAAGUCAUUUACAAGAUGUAUUCACGACAUGUUAGCCAGUAAUUGCUAAGGUACUUUGUUUAAGGGUCUCUGUACCUCUGUCUCUAUGAUACGUAGCCAAGGGUUGAACAGCAGUUUUUAAUGCUCUAUUUGUUUAGAAUUAAUUCAAAUGAUAAGGUGCUCUUGGGUAAUAAUUCCUUUAAAAAAAGAGCUGCUUUAAACUUCUUAAUUGUCUUGGCUCUUGGAUAUUUGCUGACUUAGGGCAGUGGAAGAAGAGUAAUUUGGAGCCAGGAAGAACUGGUACAUCAAGUUUUUUUAAAAUGAGAGAAUAGAGGUUUAAUUAUUUUCUAUAAAAGAAAGGAAAAGCCGUGCUCCCCACAUUGAAGAACACAUUUCUGAUCUUUUAGACCCUUAAAAACUAGCCUAAUACUUGUGCAGGUUUUGUCUUCUCGUCUUGUUGUAACACAUGCUGUAUCUUUAGGAAAGUGUAAAACUAGGUUUUUACUUCAUGAGCAUUGACUUUAUUUGAAUGUUCUGAAAUACGUCAUGAAUGUCUUCAGCUCUAAAUACUUAAAAACCCUACCAGUAAUGUCCAAACAAGCGAUUCUGUUUCUUUGAUGACAAGAAGUCCACACACAGACAGUUCUGGGCCAGUACAGUGGUUCAGGAAAGGUAUCGAGGGUUUGGGGACAUCUCUUCCUGAGCCUCCGUAUUUGCAUGUGACAUUUAACCUUAGAUCUUACCUACAGGCCUUGUAUCCCUGUACCAGACAGAGAAGAGCACAGGGCUUUCUUCUUGUGAUGUUUGGCUUUUUUUGUUUUAUUUUUCUUGAGAGGGAUAACUUUUACCAAAGAUCUCCAUGUUUGUCCCAUUGGCCAGUACUUUGUUACCCGGUCACCUCUAGUUGCAGGGGAAGCUGGCAAACCCCUAGUGACAGAUUGUCUUCCUCUAUAGGAAGAAGGCAGAUAAAAAGUGGGAUGUUGAUUGGACCAUUUGAGGAAUUAUUUGGUAGUGGUGGGAUGGUGAAUGUGAAAGUUUUCUUAGUCCUUAGUUGUAUUCUAAAAAAUAAGAAUUCCCCCAUCUCAAUUUGAUCAAAGGAAAUACAGAAUUACAUAAAGUAUUAAAAUCUUUUGUUGGAAGGCAAAGUUGAAUAAUUACCACAAUAAAAUCUAUUUAAGCUCAUUUUCAUAAUCUUGUGAAAUGAAGCAAAGCUUGCACAUUCUUUACUCUUGGCACUUUCAAGUUUUCUCAGCCAAGUUGUUGAAAGAAUAGUGUAUUUUAAGCUAAUAUUUAUUUUGUUCAUCUGUUCACCCAGUACAACCUUUCUGCUGUGAGGACAGGAUUCUGGCUCUGUGACAGGCGUCUUUUUUGGAGACCCUCCUUCAAGAGCCCUGCUGCCUAUAAAAGAUAGCCACCAAAAAAGACAGCCAAAAAAGAAAAACCCAAACAGAAAGCCACUUCUAAAAGUAAAAAAUCUGUAAAAAGUGCUAAUGUUAAAAAGGCAGAUAGCAGCACCACCAAGAAGAAUCAAAACAGUUCCAAAAAAGAAAGUGAAUCUGAAGAUAGUUCAGAUGAUGAACCUCUCAUUAAAAAGUUGAAGAAACCGCCUACAGAUGAAGAGUUAAAGGAAACAGUAAAGAAGUUAUUGGCCAGUGCUAACUUGGAGGAAGUCACAAUGAAGCAGAUUUGCAAAGAGGUAUAUGAAAGUUACCCUGCUUAUGACUUAACUGAAAGAAAGGAGUUCAUAAAAACAACUGUUAAAGAGCUGAUUUCUUGAGAAAGAGGACAAAGACAGUUGACUUGUAACCAUGGAUUUAAAGAUCUGAUUUAAACCAUUAUACCAGCAAAGAGAAUGUAUUUCCUUUUCUAAAUCCUUGCAAGCGUUGUGUUGGUAGAACUUCCUGCUGACCUUUUAAUCUUGAGUGUUACAUAAUCUGAGUUGGCUGUUUUAAAUUGCAUUUCUAUGCAGUUUUUAGUUUAAAUUUUUGCAUGGCAGUAAGUGUCCGUUGCUUUUAUAGUUGUAUUUUGUACAUUGGAUUUCUUUAUAUAAGGUUAUAGAUUCUUGAACUGUAGUUUUUAGUGUGUGCUCAAUAUUAGCUUAAGACAUACUUUUAAUCAAGUAGAACAGAAACUAUUAUAACUGGCAUUUAUACAUGCAGAGACUAUUGCAGUAUUUAGUAUAUGAAAUAUUUUGAAUACACAUCUGUCAGUGUGAACACUCAGUGGCAGUGUGUUCAUCAUAUUAAAAAUACACAAGCUUCAGCUGUCCAGAUGACUGAACCGGAACUUUUCUCCUGCAUGUGUAUAUAUGUCAAAUUGUCAGCAUGACAAGAGUGACAGAUGUUAUUUUUGUAUUUUUAAAAACAAAUUUGUUGUAUAUAAAGUUUUUUUAUUUCUUUUGUGCAGAUCAAUUUUUAAAUUCAUAUAAGUAGGUAUCUUUACAGUUAAAAACUAUGAAAUGUCAGUGUUCAGCCAGAUGGUAUGUCGGAGCAGAGAAAGUCAGAAUUCAGUGAAGAAAUCACUGAAGGAACAGAGAGUUCUCUGUUUUGCCUGGGAAGUGUCAUCUAUUUGUAGUUUUAGUGUUAACUCUGCGACAGUGUGUGUAGAUAGAUACAUUUUAUAUUAAGGAUAGACCAAAAUCAACACGUUGAAACUUCAAAAAUUUGGUAAAGAUUGGGGUUAAGUACAAGCACAUUUGGCUUAUAAUAAUGAAUUGAUUUUUAUUGACUGCUUUUGCCCAUAUAAAAUCCUGCUAGAGGAAAUCUGGCCACCUUAUAAUUAUGGAAAAGUCCCCAUUGUACUGCCAGAAGAUGAUAAUAUGUAGAUAAUGUGUAGAUGUGGGUACCUGACAAAGUAUUUCUCAAAAGUGAUAACAGGAUUAUUUUUUUAAAAAUUUAAUGUAUUCGUGGAAUCAGGGGUAUUAGACUUUAAAUUUUGGCCAAUCAGGAUUCUAAAUGAUCAACAUAUGGACGGACCACUCCUGAAUGAGACUAAUUUUGUCUUUUAAAUUUGACUGUCUUAAUCAGUUUAUUAAAUCUCUGAAUUUUAAAAUAAAACAUGCUGCUUAUGCAAGAAUUAGGCCUUUGAUAAACUAUUGAGUGUUUAUCUUUGCAUCACAGAACAGAAAUAUAUAAAAAUGAUGUUGACUGUUAACAGGUAUUUUCACAGGUUUGACUUGUUUCUUGAUAAAGUUAUUAAGACACUAGAGACAAGCUAUGCUAAAUACAAAUGAAUGGAAUAAACAUCUAAUGAGACUUAAGAAUUGGCCUUUGGUUUUAAAUAUUUAAUUUGUUCCUAGAAACCUUGUCAAUAAAAAUAAUAACUAAA